Molecule: long non-coding RNA, 1101 nt
Organism: Brachypodium distachyon (stiff brome)
Lineage: Eukaryota; Viridiplantae; Streptophyta; Magnoliopsida; Poales; Poaceae
Exons: 2
Source: RefSeq, a predicted model, not a curated record
CUCCCCUGUCUCCUUCGGAUCCGGCGACAGAGGCAACGGCGCCCACGACGCCCCGACCCCGCGGCCGACGUUCAUGGCAGCGCGGCUGCUGCACGCGCCGGAGCAGCGUGCGUCGGGCCGAGCCCCGCGCGCUCCUCCGUCGAGCGUGGCCGCCGGCGCCGUCCCAUCCUUCGGGCGGGGAGGCCGCGUGGAGGCCGGCGGUGGCGGACACCGGCGACCGGCCACCCGUUCCACGCGCCAUGGAGGCGGUGUAGUGGCGGCGGCCUCCUCACACGUUGAUAUUGCCGUGUGGCUCCGUCCCGAAGGGCGGAUAGGCGUCACCGUGGCUCCUUCUUGGCCGACCGGCGGAUCAUUUUGAGGCGACGAGCGGCGCACGCGGUGGAGCACCUCGCACGCCGUCGUCCGUUAGGAGUGCAUCCGCCAACAUGAGACUUAGUCACAGGUCAGUUCUUUGAUGUAUAUCAAGCAACCUUGAAACCAAUAGUUCUGACAUUCUGGCUCAGAUUCAGAAGACACAAUGCUUUUGGGUUUGGAACUUUUGUUCAGAUUCGAAAGAUACAUAUGAUACUCUCUCCGAUCCAUAUUAAUGGUCUCAAAUUUGUCAAAAUAUGAAUGUAUCUAUGUCUAAAACGCGUCUAGACACAUGUAAUAUUUCAACAACUAAUAUGGAUCGGAGGGAGUAGAUCUUUAGUUUGUUUCACUUUGGUUUCAGAGUUACAGACAAGUACCUUCCCUAUCUAUUGUUCGAGACAUCACUUUAGAAGAAAUCGACGUAUCUUCUCAAAUGAGAUGAAAGAGCCCGAGGAGGUGGCGCAUAUCAUCCAUGAAGAUUUUAAUAUGUUUAGGAGGACAACCUUGCCAAGGUUGCAUGUUGUAAUUACAGAUAGCGAAUAAUUUUCUUUUGCUGUUAUAUGGGGGUUUUCUCGCUAACCUUGACCCUUAUAACCAAGGUUAGCGGCAGUCUUUCCCUUCUUUAAUGAACGGCAGAGCUCCUGCCAUCUUUCCUAAUAAAACAGAAGUUAAUAUUUGAUGCCUUUCUAUAGAUUUUACUUGUAGCCCCAUAUGCUACUUCAGAUUCUAAACCGAGGCAUUUCAAACAUA